GACGAACGCUGGCGGCGUGCUUAACACAUGCAAGUCGAACGGAAAGGCCCUGCUUUUGUGGGGUGCUCGAGUGGCGAACGGGUGAGUAACACGUGAGUAACCUGCCCUUGACUUUGGGAUAACUUCAGGAAACUGGGGCUAAUACCGGAUAGGAGCUCCUGCUGCAUGGUGGGGGUUGGAAAGUUUCGGCGGUUGGGGAUGGACUCGCGGCUUAUCAGCUUGUUGGUGGGGUAGUGGCUUACCAAGGCUUUGACGGGUAGCCGGCCUGAGGGGGUGACCGGCCACAUUGGGACUGAGAUACGGCCCAGACUCCUACGGGAGGCAGCAGUGGGGAAUAUUGCACAAUGGGCGGAAGCCUGAUGCAGCAACGCCGCGUGCGGGAUGACGGCCUUCGGGUUGUAAACCGCUUUCGCUUGUGACGAAGCGUGAGUGACGGUAAUGGGUAAAGAAGCACCGGCUAACUACGUG
This 468-nucleotide ribosomal RNA is filed under the name uncultured bacterium. RNAcentral describes it as "partial 16S ribosomal RNA". It matches the Rfam family "Bacterial small subunit ribosomal RNA", at positions 28 to 507 of the family's 1533-position model. The record is from RNAcentral.